AGUGAACGCUGGCGGCGUGCUUAACACAUGCAAGUCGAACGGUAACAGGUCUUCGGAUGCUGACGAGUGGCGAACGGGUGAGUAAUACAUCGGAACGUGCCCGAUCGUGGGGGAUAACGAAGCGAAAGCUUUGCUAAUACCGCAUACGAUCUACGGAUGAAAGCAGGGGACCGCAAGGCCUUGCGCGAACGGAGCGGCCGAUGGCAGAUUAGCUAGUUGGUGGGGUAAAGGCCCACCAAGGCGACGAUCUGUAGCUGGUCUGAGAGGACGACCAGCCACACUGGGACUGAGACACGGCCCAGACUCCUACGGGAGGCAGCAGUGGGGAAUUUUGGACAAUGGGCGCAAGCCUGAUCCAGCAAUGCCGCGUGCAGGAAGAAGGCCUUCGGGUU
RNAcentral lists this ribosomal RNA (392 nucleotides) under uncultured bacterium. RNAcentral's name for it is "bacterial SSU rRNA". It matches the Rfam family "Bacterial small subunit ribosomal RNA", at positions 29 to 424 of the family's 1533-position model. The record is from RNAcentral.